AGGGUUCGAUUAUGGCUCAGAACGUACGCUGGCGGCACGCCUAACACAUGCAAGUCGAACGAAGUAGCAAUACUUAGUGGCAGACGGGUGAGUAACAUGUAGGUAUCUGCCCUUUGGCCUGGAAUAACACGAGGAAACUUGUGCUAAUACUGGAUAAGUCUUUACGGAGAAAGCUUUAUGCACCAUUGGAUGAGCCUGCACUUGAUUAGUUUGUUGGUAGGGUAAUGGCCUACCAAGACUUUGAUCAAUAGCUGAUUUGAGAGGAUGAUCAGCCACAUUGGGACUGAGACACGGCCCAAACUCCUACGGGAGGCAGCAGUGGGGAAUCUUGCACAAUGGAGGAAACUCUGAUGCAGCGAUGCCGCGUGAGUGAAGAAGGCCCUUGGGUUGUAAAGCUCUUUCGUCGGGGAAGAAAAUGACUGUACCCGAAUAAGAAGGUCCGGCUAACUUCGUGCCAGCCGCCGCGGUAAUA
This 472-nucleotide ribosomal RNA is filed under the name uncultured bacterium. RNAcentral's name for it is "bacterial SSU rRNA". It matches the Rfam family "Bacterial small subunit ribosomal RNA", at positions 8 to 525 of the family's 1533-position model. The record is from RNAcentral.